GAAUCCCCCACUGGGAAAGAAGUGGUUGCAGCUGUUUCAUCUCUCAGUAGCCAUGAAGUAUGGAGAUGGAGCACACCCUGUGCAAUCAUGCCAGCUGACCCUCACACAGAUGAUUGAACCACUUGGAAGCUUUUUGCCACAUUCCUGGUGAGAUUCCAAAUACCACUGGGACCAAAGGCCUCAACAUUUCCUCCUCCAUGCCAGUCAGCUUGACUCAAGCCUUAUCAAGAACCCACAAUUCCUGAGCACCACUCCCAGUGCCAAGGAGCAGAGCCGCCCGCAGCACUGAGGAGGAGCCCUUCUGGGUCACCAUACCACCACCCCCAGUGUUGAGGAGCAGAGCUGCUUCCAGCCCUGAGGAGGAGAUGUUCAGGCCACCAUACCACCACCCCCAGUGCUGAGGAGGUGAGCCACCUGGGUGUCAGCAUCACAAAAUUGCCCUCCCCGCUGAAAUGAGAAGACAUGUAAACAAAUGUCAAAACCAGACUUCCAGAUCAACUAAAGCAACCCCAAAGGGAAAUGAGAUGGAACAAUCUGAUACUCAACCACCUGGACUCCCCGAACUGGCAAUGAAAGAG
RNAcentral lists this long non-coding RNA (578 nucleotides) under Heterocephalus glaber (naked mole-rat). RNAcentral describes it as "lncRNA (ENSHGLG00100049273.1)". Lineage: Eukaryota; Metazoa; Chordata; Mammalia; Rodentia; Bathyergidae. The record is from RNAcentral.